GUGGCGGUUCCGGAUUAUUGGGCGUAAGAGCUCGUAGGCGGUUUGUCGCGUCUGCCGUGAAAGUCCGGGGCUCAACUCCGGAUCUGCGGUGGGUACGGGCAGACUAGAGUGAUGUAGGGGAGACUGGAAUUCCUGGUGUAGCGGUGAAAUGCGCAGAUAUCAGGAGGAACACCGAUGGCGAAGGCAGGUCUCUGGGCAUUAACUGACGCUGAGGAGCGAAAGCAUGGGGAGCGAACAGGAUUAGAUACCCUGGUAGUCCAUGCCGUAAACGUUGGGCACUAGGUGUGGGAGACAUUCCACGUUUUCCGCGCCGUAGCUAACGCAUUAAGUGCCCCGCCUGGGGAGUACGGCCGCAAGGCUAAAACUCAAAGGAAUUGACGGGGGCCCGCACAAGCGGCGGAGCAUGCGGAUUAAUUCGAUGCAACGCGAAGAACCUUACCAAGGCUUGACAUGAACCGGUAAGACCUGGAAACAGGUCCCCCACUUGUGGCCGGUUUACAGGUGGUGCAUGGUUGUCGUCAGCUCGUGUCGUGAGAUGUUGGGUUAAGUCCCGCAACGAGCGCAACCCCUGUGGUCGGUUGAGAUGUCCGACAAGACUGCCACGCUAAACGUGGAGGAAGGUGGGGAUGACGUCAAGUCAGCACGGCCCUUACGUCCUGGGCGACACACACGCUACAAUGGCCGAGACAACGGGUCGCCAACCCGCGAGGGGGAGCCAAUCCCAGCAAACUCGGUCUCAGUUCGGAUGGUAGGCUGCAACCCGCCUGCCUGAAGCCGGAGUUGCUAGUAACCGUGGGUCAGCACACCACGGUGAAUACGUUCCCGGGUCUUGUACACACCGCCCGUCACACCACGAAAGUCGGCAACACCUGAAGCCGCUGGGCUAACUCUUUUACGGAAGAGGGGCAGCGUCGAGGGUGGGGUUGGUGAUUGGGGUGAAGUCGUACAAGGUAACCAUGACUG
Molecule: ribosomal RNA, 963 nt
Filed under: uncultured bacterium
Lineage: Bacteria
Description: bacterial SSU rRNA
Rfam family: Bacterial small subunit ribosomal RNA
Source: RNAcentral